Molecule: ribosomal RNA, 1403 nt
Filed under: uncultured bacterium
Lineage: Bacteria
Description: partial 16S ribosomal RNA
Rfam family: Bacterial small subunit ribosomal RNA
Source: RNAcentral
UUAGAGUUUGAUUCUGGCUCAAGAUGAACGCUAGCUACAGGCUUAACACAUGCAAGUCGCGGGGCAGCAUGUUACUGGCUUGCCAGUAAUGAUGGCGGCCGGCGCACGGGUGAGUAUCGCGUAUCCAACCUUCCCAUAUCCACGGGAUAGCCUGCCGAAAGGCAGAUUAAUACCGUAUGUUGUCGCACGCUGGCAUCAAAAUGCGACGAAAGGCUUAGCGGAUAUGGAUGGGGAUGCGUCCGAUUAGCUUGACGGCGGGGUAACGGCCCACCGUGGCGACGAUCGGUAGGGGUUCUGAGAGGAAGGUCCCCCACAAUGGGACUGAGACACGGCCCAUACUCCUACGGGAGGCAGCAGUGAGGAAUAUUGGUCAAUGGGCGGAAGCCUGAACCAGCCAUGCCGCGUGCGGGAAGGAGGCCCUAUGGGCUGUGAACCGCUUUUGCCUGGGGGCAAUAAGGGCGUCGCGCACAUCCGAUGAGAGUACCAGGCGAAUAAGCAUCGGCUAACUCCGUGCCAGCAGCCGCGGUAAUACGGGGGAUGCGAGCGUUAUCCGGAUUCAUUGGGUUUAAAGGGUGCGUAGGCUGUGCGUCAAGUCGGGGGUGAAAUUCCGGUGCUCAACACCGGGGCUGCCCUUGAUACUGUCGCGCUGGAGUGCGGAUGCCGCCGGAGGAAUGAGUGGUGUAGCGGUGAAAUGCUUAGAUAUCACUCAGAACACCGAUUGCGAAGGCAUCUGGCGAAUCCGUAACUGACGCUGAGGCACGAAAGCGUGGGGAUAGAACAGGAUUAGAUACCCUGGUAUUCCACGCCGUAAACGAUGAUGGCUAACCGCCGGCGACAGACUGUCGGUGGCCAAGCGAAAGCGAUAAGCCAUCCACCUGGGGAGUACGUCGGCAACGAUGAAACUCAAAGGAAUUGACGGGGGCCCGCACAAGCGGAGGAACAUGUGGUUUAAUUCGAUGAUACGCGAGGAACCUUACCCGGGCUCAAACGACAGCGGACAGCUCCUGAAAGGGAGUCUCUGGCAACGGCCGCUGUCGAGGUGCUGCAUGGUUGUCGUCAGCUCGUGCCGUGAGGUGUCGGCUUAAGUGCCAUAACGAGCGCAACCCCCAUCUCCAGUUGCCACCGGGUCGUGCCGGGCACUCUGGAGGGACUGCCAGCGCAAGCUGCGAGGAAGGCGGGGAUGACGUCAAAUCAGCACGGCCCUUACGUCCGGGGCGACACACGUGUUACAAUGGCGGAGAACAGAGGGGAGCCACGUGGCGACACGGAGCCGAUCCCGAAAAUCCGUCUCAGUUCGGAUUGGAGUCUGCAACCCGACUCCAUGAAGCUGGAUUCGCUAGUAAUCGCGCAUCAGCCAUGGCGCGGUGAAUACGUUCCCGGGCCUUGCACUCACCGCCCGUCAA